Molecule: long non-coding RNA, 306 nt
Filed under: Elaeis guineensis (African oil palm)
Lineage: Eukaryota; Viridiplantae; Streptophyta; Magnoliopsida; Arecales; Arecaceae
Description: long non-coding RNA (EGUI_LNC055122)
Source: RNAcentral
CAUGUCCAGUAAAUAGAGUCUUGGUCAUUUUUUUCAUGAGACAAGAUUCACAAGUUCCAUAUGAUUCAUAAUCAUAAGGAUCAAAAAAAUUAUCUUUGUAUACCUUGUUAAUCUUUGACUCAUUUAUAUGGCCAAGUCAGCAGUGCCAAAGGUAUGUGACAUUUACAUCCUCUCUCUUUUUUUUCUUCAUAUUAUCAACAUCAUAUUAUCAUUAAGUGAAAGAAAUAUAAGACCAUUAUCAAUAAAAGUACUUUCAUAAUUUUAUUAGAAAAUAUAUAGAACAAUCAUUAUUCUUUGCAAUUAUUU